This 305-nucleotide ribosomal RNA is filed under the name uncultured bacterium. Its description in RNAcentral is "bacterial SSU rRNA". It matches the Rfam family "Bacterial small subunit ribosomal RNA", at positions 334 to 655 of the family's 1533-position model. The record is from RNAcentral.
CGCACCUACGGGAGGCAGCAGUGGGGAAUAUUGCACAAUGGGGGAAACCCUGAUGCAGCGACGCCGCGUGAGUGAAGAAGUAUUUCGGUAUGUAAAGCUCUAUCAGCAGGGAAGAAAAAAGACGGUACCUGACUAAGAAGCCCCGGCUAACUACGUGCCAGCAGCCGCGGUAAUACGUAGGGGGCAAGCGUUAUCCGGAUUUACUGGGUGUAAAGGGAGCGUAGACGGCAAUGCAAGCCAGAUGUGAAAGCCCGGGGCUCAACCCCGGGACUGCACUUGGAACUGUGUAGCUGGAGUGUCGGAGA